UACGUAGGGGGCAAGCGUUGUCCGGAUUUAUUGGGCGUAAAGAGCGUGUAGGCGGCUUGACAGGUCUGCUGUGAAAACUCGAGGCUCAACCUCGAGAUGUCGGCGGAAACUGUCUGGCUAGAGUCCGGAAGAGGAGAAUGGAAUUCCUGGUGUAGCGGUGAAAUGCGCAGAUAUCAGGAAGAACACCCGUGGCGAAGGCGGUUCUCUGGGACGGUACUGACGCUGAGACGCGAAAGCGUGGGGAGCGAACAGG
Molecule: ribosomal RNA, 253 nt
Filed under: uncultured bacterium
Lineage: Bacteria
Description: partial 16S ribosomal RNA
Rfam family: Bacterial small subunit ribosomal RNA
Source: RNAcentral